UACGUAGGUCCCGAGCGUUGUCCGGAUUUAUUGGGCGUAAAGCGAGCGCAGGUGGUUUAUUAAGUCUGGUGUAAAAGGCAGUGGCUCAACCACUGUAUGCAUUAGAAACUGGUAGACUUGAGUGCAGGAGAGGAGAGUGGAAUUCCAUGUGUAGCGGUGAAAUGCGUAGAUAUAUGGAGGAACACCGGUGGCGAAAGCGGCUCUCUGGCCUGUAACUGACACUGAGGCUCGAAAGCGUGGGGAGCAAGCAGG
This 252-nucleotide ribosomal RNA is filed under the name uncultured bacterium. Its description in RNAcentral is "partial 16S ribosomal RNA". It matches the Rfam family "Bacterial small subunit ribosomal RNA", at positions 524 to 776 of the family's 1533-position model. The record is from RNAcentral.